GAUGAAGAACGUAGCGAAAUGCGAUAAGUAAUGUGAAUUGCAGAAUUCAGUGAAUCAUCGAAUCUUUGAACGCACAUUGCGCCCGCUAGUAUUCUGGCGGGCAUGCCUGUCCGAGCGUCAUUUCAACCCUCAAGCCCCCGGGCUUGGUGUUGGGGAUCGGCGAGCCUCCGCGCCCGCCGUCCCCUAAAUCUAGUGGCGGUCUCGCUGUAGCUUCCUCUGCGUAGUAGCACACCUCGCACUGGGAAACAGCGCGGCCACGCCGUUAAACCCCCAACUUCUGAACGUUUGACCUCGGAUCAGGUAGGAAUACCCGCUGAACUUAAGCAUAUCCAUAAGCGGAGGA
Molecule: unclassified non-coding RNA, 343 nt
Filed under: soil metagenome
Description: partial contains 5.8S ribosomal RNA, internal transcribed spacer 2, and large subunit ribosomal RNA
Rfam family: 5.8S ribosomal RNA (bases 1-120)
Source: RNAcentral